UGAGUCUGCCUGGCAGGGUUGGUCCAACAAAGCCAAAGCCCUCGAAUGGAGGACCUGAGCCCUAGGACCAUGCCUCAGGACUGCCUGACAUGAUGACUCCUUGCUGUCCCCAGUCCACCUGGCCAUGCUGCUGCUCCAGUUUUAACUGUUCUGCCUGCGGCAAUGGAACCCUGACCGGUUCACCGGACGUGCUACCUGUCCCAGACCUGCUGUUUUCAACUCUCUAGAGACAGCAGGAGUGGUAGAGAUACUCCCAAUGAUCGGCUAUGAAAAGCCAACUGACAUUUACUCUUGAGGUGCUGACUUGUUGCACCCUCGACAACUACUGUGAUUAUUAUUAUUUGACCAUGCUGGUCAUUUAUGAACAUUUGAACAUCUUGGCCAUGUUCUGUUAUAAUCUCCACCCGGCACAGCCAGAAGAGGACUGCCCCCCCCCCCUCAUAGCCUGGUUCCUCUCUAGGUUUCUUCCUAGGUUUUGGCCUUUCUACGGAGUUUUUCCUAGCCACCGUGCUUCUACACCUGCAUUGCUGGCUGUUCGGGGAUUUAGGCUGGGUUUCUGUACAGCACUUUGAGAUAUCAGCUGAUGUAAGAAGGGCUAUAUAAAUACGUUUGAUUUGAUUUGAUGAAGAAGGCACGACAAAACCUAUUCCUCCUCAGGAGACUGAAAAGAUUUGGGUCCUCAGAUCCUCAAAAGGUUCUACAGCUGCACCAUCGAGAGCAUCCGGACGGGUUGCAUCACUGCCUUAUAUGGCAACUGCUCGACCUCUGACUGCAAGGCAAUACAGAGCGUAGUGCGUACGGCCCAGUACAUCUCUGGGGCCAAGCUUCCUGUCAUCCAGGGCCUCUCUUCCAGGCGGUGUCAGAGGAAGUCCCUAAAAAUUAUCAAAGACUCCAGCCAACCUAGUCAUAGACUGUUCUCUCUGCUACCUCAUGGCAAGCGGUACCGGAGCGCCAACUCUAGGUCCAAGAGGCUCCUAAACAGCUUCUACCCCCAAGCCAUAAGACUUCUGAACAUCUAAUGAAAUGGCUACUCAGACUAUUUGCAUUGCCCCCCUCUUUUACACUGCUGCUACUCUCUGUUAUUAUCUAUGCAUAGUCACUUUAAUAACUCUCCAUACAUGUACAUAUUACCUCAAUUACCUCGAUUAACCGGUGUCCCCGCGCAUUGACUCACUAGCCCCUGUAUAUAGCCUGACUAUUGUUAUUUUACUGCUGCUCUUUAAUUAUUAGUUACUUUUAUUUCUUAUUCUUAUUUUUUAAGGUAUUUCAAAUCAAAUAAAAUGUAACUGCAUUGUUGGUUAGGGCUUGUAAGUAAGCAUUUCAUUGUAAGAUCUGCACCUAUUGUAUAUGGCGCAUGUGACAAAUAACAUUUGAUUUGAUUCAAUUUGAUUAGUAAGACUGACUCACCCCAUAUUCAAGAAUGGCUUUUUUUCACUUUAUUCAGAUUACAACCCCUCACUUUCGGUUAUUUGAAAUUGAAAUAAUCUCCAAAAUAUCGCUGUUUUUAAAAGAAGCCAUAGAUAGUUGGUUGCAAUUUCAGUUUAAUCCACCAGAAAAGACAGAACAAAUAUUACAACUAAUAUUAUGGUUAAACUCAAAUAUUCUAAUUGAUAAAGAAAAUAUAUUCUGGGGAAAAAAUGUUUAAAAACAGUAUAGUCCUUGUAAAUUAUAUCCUAAAUAGGACUGGUGGAGAUAUGUCACACAUGCAGCUAACAAAAAUAUAUGUAAAUGACUGCUUUACUCAAAAUUUUGCAGCCCUACCACAAAAUGGAAGAGGCAAGCAGAAGGGGGAGUAAGUAAGGAACUUGGCUGUGGGCCCUGCAUUAAUUAAAGACCAAAAUUGGUUAAACAAAAUUGUGAUAAAUAACCAAGUAUACCAGUUUCAUUUAAGGACCAAAAAAUUUAGAAAGUUAGUAAGAGAUUUUCAGUGUACUGAUUCCAUGCCACAUGGUUUAUGAACUGAUACACAAAACGAUUCAAAUUUUUCCAUUUAAAUUAUUGUACAAAUUAUUGCAACCAAUAGAAUGUUAUAUAUAUAUAUGGGGGAUACAACCAUCCCAGCUCUGCAGGUUUUGCUGUGAAGAGACAUAAUCAUUCGAUCAUUUGUUUUGGUACUGUAGCUUGUUUUUGGUCAUAGGUUCAGGAAUGGCUGAAGAAUUGCAACAUUUACCUGGAGUUAGCUGCAAAUAGCACUACUGGGUGAUUUGAAAAGUCCUAGUCAAUCGAUCAAUAAUAUAAACAUU
Molecule: long non-coding RNA, 2243 nt
Filed under: Salmo salar (Atlantic salmon)
Lineage: Eukaryota; Metazoa; Chordata; Actinopteri; Salmoniformes; Salmonidae
Description: lncRNA (ENSSSAG00000094536.1, ENSSSAG00000095527.1)
Source: RNAcentral